Molecule: ribosomal RNA, 443 nt
Filed under: uncultured bacterium
Lineage: Bacteria
Description: partial 16S ribosomal RNA
Rfam family: Bacterial small subunit ribosomal RNA
Source: RNAcentral
GAUGAACGCUGGCGGCAUGCCUAACACAUGCAAGUCGAUCGGUAAGGCUCUUCGGAGUACACGAGAGGCGGACGGCUGAGUAACGCGUAGGAACACACCCUGCAGUGAGGGAUAAGACACCGAAAGGUGUUCUAAUACCGCAUACGGUCUUCGGAUUAAAGCAUUUAUGCGCUGAAGGAGUGGCCUGCGUCAUAUUAGAUAGUUGGUGAGGUAAUGGCUCACCAAGUCGAUGAUGUGUAGCUGGUCUGAGAGGAUGAUCAGCCAGACUGGAACUGAGACACGGUCCAGACUACUACGGGAGGCAGCAGUGAGGAAUAUUUCACAAUGAGCGAAAGCUUGAUGGAGCAAUGCCGCGUGCAGGAUGAAGGCCCUCGGGUUGUAAACUGCUUUUAUAAGAGAAGAUUAUGACGGUAACUUAUGAAUAAGGGACGGCUAACUACGUG